Molecule: ribosomal RNA, 253 nt
Filed under: uncultured bacterium
Lineage: Bacteria
Description: partial 16S ribosomal RNA
Rfam family: Bacterial small subunit ribosomal RNA
Source: RNAcentral
UACGUAGGUGUCAAGCGUUGUCCGGAAUUAUUGGGCGUAAAGCGCGCGCAGGUGGUUUCUUAAGUCUGAUGUGAAAGCCCACGGCUCAACCGUGGAGGGUCAUUGGAAACUGGGGAACUUGAGUGCAGGAGAGAAGAGUGGAAUUCCACGUGUAGCGGUGAAAUGCGUAGAGAUGUGGAGGAACACCAGUGGCGAAGGCGACUCUUUGGCCUGUAACUGACACUGAGGCGCGAAAGCGUGGGGAGCAAACAGG